UGUCCCAUAGUGUAAUGGUAGCACUCCUGGUUUUGGUUCAGUCAGUCUAGGUUCGAAUCCUGGUGGGACAA
This 71-nucleotide transfer RNA is filed under the name Bacillota bacterium. Its description in RNAcentral is "Firmicutes bacterium (anaerobic digester metagenome) tRNA-Gln". It matches the Rfam family "tRNA". Rfam says of the family: Transfer RNA (tRNA) molecules are approximately 80 nucleotides in length. Their secondary structure includes four short double-helical elements and three loops (D, anti-codon, and T loops). The record is from RNAcentral. Lineage: Bacteria; Bacillati; Bacillota. RNAcentral also lists the same sequence under 3 other names.